RNAcentral lists this small RNA (306 nucleotides) under uncultured bacterium. Its description in RNAcentral is "bacterial SSU rRNA". The stretch from base 1 to 275 matches the Rfam family "Bacterial small subunit ribosomal RNA", at positions 74 to 352 of the family's 1533-position model. The record is from RNAcentral.
GAGACUUCGGUCUCUAGCGGCGGACGGGUGAGUAACACGUGGGUAACCUGCCUCAAACAGGGGGAUAGCCUCCCGAAAGGGAGAUUAAUACCGCAUAACAUCGCGCUAUCGCAUGAUAGUGUGAUUAAAGGAGUAAUCCGGUUUGAGAUGGGCCCGCGGCGCAUUAGCUAGUUGGUGAGGUAACGGCUCACCAAGGCGGGGAUGGGUAGCCGACCUGAGAGGGUGAUCGGCCACAUUGGAACUGAUACACGGCCCAGGAUCCUACGGGAGGCAGCUUCCCAUCUUGAAUAAACUCGAGCCCAUCCG